Molecule: long non-coding RNA, 403 nt
Filed under: Salmo salar (Atlantic salmon)
Lineage: Eukaryota; Metazoa; Chordata; Actinopteri; Salmoniformes; Salmonidae
Description: lncRNA (ENSSSAG00000101291.1, ENSSSAG00000104082.1)
Source: RNAcentral
AGAAGAGUGACUACAACUCGCAUGCUACUCCUCCUACACCGUUUAAGCUAGAAACGCUGUUCCAAUGGUCUCGAUCGUGUUGCUUGUAUACAACUUUUUGAUAUGUUAUACUUUUUCCGUUAUUCACUUUGUCCUCUUUAUCUCUUCCAUCCGUUUUCAUGGGAUUUCUCAAGAUUCUAAAGCUUCGCAUUGUGACAUCCUUACUACCAAUGGCAAUUCUCUCACCAUGCGUCCCACUGGAUCUGGCAUGUGAGCUUCAUGAGAACCACAUGAACGCCAAGAAAGAAGCUACAGCCAUCAAGCAGGCAGCAGUUCCUGCUCUCCCUAUUCCCCAAGCACCACAGCUCCCACUUGGGAAAAAUAAGAUACAAUGUCAAGUAGGCAGGUGCACAGGAAACAAGGC